This 636-nucleotide unclassified non-coding RNA is filed under the name Hevea brasiliensis (rubber tree). The record is from RNAcentral. Lineage: Eukaryota; Viridiplantae; Streptophyta; Magnoliopsida; Malpighiales; Euphorbiaceae.
UAAAGGAUGUCUUCCAAAGGUUCGGUGCUGUUAAGUGUGUUGACUAUCAUGAGGGAGCAGCUUCAGGUUGCAUUCAUUUUCAAGAACCAGAAGGAGCUAUAAAAGCCUGUGCUGCUGCAGAAUUUAUUGAAGAAGGUCUCAUUGUGAAGAAUUUCUUUGUUUCAUUUGAAGCAGUUAUUGCUAAGACUGAAGAGGAGCACUGGAAUAUGCAUGAUCUUAAGGAGGAAGGUUGCCAGGAAAGUAGAGAUGAUAGAAAACGGAAACACAAAUCCAGUAAAUGUGGAGGACAAUCUGAAGGCAGAAGCUCCCACUUAAAAGAGAGGAAAGGCUNNNAUAAAGGUGGAAGACGGUCUGAAGGCAGAAGCUCCCACUCAAAAGAAAAUGAUUAUCCAACCCAGCGGCCAACAAAAGCUCAGAAGGUCACAACUGUUUAGGAUUUUAAUGAGGUCUUAAAUUUUUAGAAAUCAUUGCCCAUGAAUGCAAUUUUGCAAACAGUUGUCGAUCAGUAGCACAAUUUAUCUUAAGAAAACAAAUUUAUGUCAGGCAUUUUGUCUAAGCAUUCAUCAAAUGUCAAGUAUGAUCUUACAGGAGUUGCUUUGACAAAAUGCCUCAUUAAAAUCCUAAACAGUUGUGACC